UCUCGAAUCAGGUAGGACUACCCAGCUGAACU
RNAcentral lists this ribosomal RNA (32 nucleotides) under Diutina rugosa. Its description in RNAcentral is "partial 26S ribosomal RNA". The record is from RNAcentral. Lineage: Eukaryota; Fungi; Ascomycota; Pichiomycetes; Serinales; Debaryomycetaceae.